GGUAGUUGGCUCAGUGGUAGAGCACUUGCCUUGCAUGCAUGAGGCCCUGGGUUCGAUUCCUCAGCACCA
This 69-nucleotide transfer RNA is filed under the name Dipodomys ordii (Ord's kangaroo rat). It matches the Rfam family "tRNA". From Rfam's summary of the family: Transfer RNA (tRNA) molecules are approximately 80 nucleotides in length. The record is from Rfam by way of RNAcentral. Lineage: Eukaryota; Metazoa; Chordata; Mammalia; Rodentia; Heteromyidae.